UCUGGGUAUUGAUUGGUGCUUGCAUCAUGAUUUACAUUUGAGUGAGUGGCGAACUGGUGAGUAACACGUGGGAAACCUGCCCAGAAGCGGGGGAUAACACCUGGAAACAGAUGCUAAUACCGCAUAACAACUUGGACCGCAUGGUCCGAGCUUGAAAGAUGACUUCGGCUAUCACUUUUGGAUGGUCCCGCUGCGUAUUAGCUAGUGGGUGGGGUAACGGCUCACCAUGGCAAUGAUACGUAGCCGACCUGAGAGGGUAAUCUGGCCACAUUGGGACUGAGACACGGCCCAAACUCCUACGGGAGGCAGCAGUAGGGAAUCUUCCACAAUGGACGAAAGUCUGAUGGAGCAACGCCGCGUGAGUGAAGAAGGGUUUCGGCUCGUAAAACUCUGUUGUUAUGCAUGAACAUAUCUGAGAGUAACUGUUCAGGUAUUGACGGUAUUUAACCAGAAAGCCACGGCUAACUACGUGCCAGCAGCCGCGGUAAUACGUAGGUGGCAAGCGUUGUCCGGGUUUAUUGGGCGUAAAGCGAGCGCAGGCGGUUUUUUUAAGUCUGAUGUGAAAGCCUUCGUGCUCAACCGAAAGAAGUGCAUCGGAAACUGGGAAACUUU
RNAcentral lists this ribosomal RNA (612 nucleotides) under Lactiplantibacillus plantarum. RNAcentral's name for it is "bacterial SSU rRNA". It matches the Rfam family "Bacterial small subunit ribosomal RNA", at positions 62 to 644 of the family's 1533-position model. The record is from RNAcentral. Lineage: Bacteria; Bacillati; Bacillota; Bacilli; Lactobacillales; Lactobacillaceae.